GUAGGUGGUUUGAUAAGCGAAUAGUGAAAUCUGGUGGCUCAACCAUUCAGACUAUUAUUCGAACUGUUGAACUCGAGAGCAGAAGAGGUAGCNUGGAAUUUCUAGUGUAGGAGUGAAAUCCGUAGAUAUUAGAAGGAACACCGAUGGUGUAGGCAGGCUACUGGGCUGUUUCUGACACUGAGGCACGAAAGCGUGGGGAGCGAACCGGAUUAGAUACCCGGGUAGUCCACGCCGUAAACGAUGGAUACUAGCUGUUUGGGGUAUCGACCCCCUGAGUAGCGAAGCUAACGCGUUAAGUAUCCCGCCUGUGGAGUACGAUCGCAAGAUUAAAACAUAAAGGAAUUGACGGGGACCCGCACAAGCGGUGGAUCAUGUUCUUUAAUUCGAUGAUAACCGAUAAACCUUACCAGGUCUUGACAUCCUUGGAAUCUUUCAGAAAUGAGAGAGUGCUUUUUAAGAGCCAAGUGACAGGUGAUGCAUGGCCGUCGUCAGCUCGUGUCGUGAGAUGUUUGGUUAAGUCCAUCAACGAGCGCAACCCUUGUCAGUAGUUGUAUUUUUCUACUGAGACUGCCCCGGCNACGGGGAGGAAGGANGGGGAUGACGUCAGGUCAGUAUUUCCCUUACGUCCUGGGCUAGAAACGUGAUACAAUGGCUAGUACAAUGCGCAGCGAAGCCCCGAGGUGAAGCAAAUC
Molecule: ribosomal RNA, 692 nt
Filed under: uncultured Candidatus Saccharibacteria bacterium
Lineage: Bacteria; Candidatus Saccharimonadota
Description: bacterial SSU rRNA
Rfam family: Bacterial small subunit ribosomal RNA
Source: RNAcentral